RNAcentral lists this ribosomal RNA (449 nucleotides) under uncultured bacterium. Its description in RNAcentral is "bacterial SSU rRNA". It matches the Rfam family "Bacterial small subunit ribosomal RNA", at positions 8 to 447 of the family's 1533-position model. The record is from RNAcentral.
AGAGUUUGAUCCUGGCUCAGAUUGAACGCUGGCGGCGUGCUUAACACAUGCAAGUCGUGCGAGAAAGGGGGCUUCGGUCCCUGAGUAGAGCGGCGCACGGGUGAGUAGCGCGUGGAUAAUCUCCCCAGAAGUUCGGGAUAACGGCGGGAAACUGCCGCUAAUACCGGAUACGCUCCAAUUUCGGUUGGGGGAAAGGCGGCCUCUGUUUACAAGCUGUCGCUUCUGGAUGAGUCCGCGUCCCAUUAGCUUGUUGGUGGGGUAAUGGCCUACCAAGGCUACGAUGGGUAGCUGGUCUGAGAGGAUGAUCAGCCACACUGGAACUGAAACACGGUCCAGACUCCUACGGGAGGCAGCAGUGGGGAAUAUUGCGCAAUGGGGGAAACCCUGACGCAGCGACGCCGUGUGAGGGAUGAAGGCUUUCGGGUCGUAAACCUCUGUCGGGAGGGAAG